This 253-nucleotide ribosomal RNA is filed under the name uncultured bacterium. RNAcentral's name for it is "partial 16S ribosomal RNA". It matches the Rfam family "Bacterial small subunit ribosomal RNA", at positions 524 to 776 of the family's 1533-position model. The record is from RNAcentral.
UACGUAGGGGGCAAGCGUUGUCCGGAUUUAUUGGGCGUAAAGAGCGUGUAGGCGGUUUUACAAGUCCGCUGUGAAAACUCGAGGCUCAACCUCGAGACGCCGAUGGAAACCAUCUAGCUAGAGUCCGGAAGAGGAGAGUGGAAUUCCUGGUGUAGCGGUGAAAUGCGCAGAUAUCAGGAAGAACACCCGUGGCUAAGGCGGCUCUCUAGUACGGUACUGACGCUGAGACGCGAAAGCGUGGGGAGCGAACAGG